This 484-nucleotide ribosomal RNA is filed under the name uncultured bacterium. Its description in RNAcentral is "partial 16S ribosomal RNA". It matches the Rfam family "Bacterial small subunit ribosomal RNA", at positions 30 to 507 of the family's 1533-position model. The record is from RNAcentral.
AUUGAACGCUGGCGGCAGGCCUAACACAUGCAAGUCGAGCGGAUGAAGGGAGCUUGCUCCUGGAUUCAGCGGCGGACGGGUGAGUAAUGCCUAGGAAUCUGCCUGGUAGUGGGGGAUAACGUCCGGAAACGGGCGCUAAUACCGCAUACGUCCUGAGGGAGAAGGUGGGGGAUCUUCGGACCUCACGCUAUCAGAUGAGCCUAGGUCGGAUUAGCUAGUUGGUGGGGUAAAGGCCUACCAAGGCGACGAUCCGUAACUGGUCUGAGAGGAUGAUCACUCACACUGGAACGGAGACACGGUCCAGGCUCCUGCGGGAGGCAGCAGUGGGGAAUAUUAGACAGUGGGCGAAAGCCUGAUCCAGCCAUGCCGCGUGUGUGGAGAAGGUCUUGGGAUCGUAAAGCCCUUUAACUUGGGGGGAAGGGCAGUAGGUUAAUACCUUGCUGUAUUGACGGUACCAACAAAAUAAGCACCGGCUAACUUCGUG